RNAcentral lists this long non-coding RNA (1072 nucleotides) under Marmota monax (woodchuck). The record is from RNAcentral. Lineage: Eukaryota; Metazoa; Chordata; Mammalia; Rodentia; Sciuridae.
CACAACCCCAGCCCCUCAAGUUUUUAAAUACUAGUGAAUCAAAUGCUUAUUCUCUAGUUUUUCUCCCUUCUUGAAAAAGGUAUGUUAAAAUCAAACUGUAGAUUUAGCUUUUUUUCUUUUUAGUUCUAUCAACCUUUGCUUUUUAUUUUUUUUUUAUGGAGGCCAUGUUAAUAGUUAUGUACAAAUAGAGAUUAUCCAUACUCACAUUUUUAUCUUUAAGUUCCCAGGAUACAGGCCAGGAAGCAGCUGUUCUCCCAUAAAGCUUCAGUCUCUAUGGGUGGGUGACAGUCCCUGGCCAAGUAAAUAAAGCUCUCAUUGAUUUUUUUAAAAUAUUUAUUCUUAAGUUUUAGGUGGACACAAUAUCUUUAUUUUACGUUUAUGUGGUGCUCAGGCUUGAACCCAGUGCCUCGUGCAUGCUAGGUAAGUACUCUACCACUGAGCCACAAGCACAGUCCCAGCUCUCAUUGAUUUGAAUUCGGACUUAAGAGUGUUUUCUGAAGCGGCUCCCCAUAACAGUACCAGGAACUCCCAGUAGUAAACCCCACCAAUUUGAGAACGCCUGGUUCAUGUGGUAUCCUCCCUAGCUCCAGCUCAAGUUCAGCACAGCACCAGAGAUGGGGUGACCCACUUGAGCCACAUAGCCUCUCAGAGAUGGGUGUGACUGGCCAAAAUGCCAGUCACCCUGCUUACUGCAAGACCCCUGCCACACGGAGAAGCAAACACCAAACCAAGACUCCUCCUGCUGAAACCUUAUCCCUGCCUUUGAUGUACUCACUCUUAAAUAAUCAGCCAUUUUUCAGUCAUUCAGUUCCAGCUCCCAUCAGGACUGGAAGACACUCCCCUUUUCAUAUCUAAUUUCUGGCUCUGUUUUUAUUUCUUACUGAUUAUUUCAGACUUUUUAUUUCCUAGGCCGCUCACACCUCCUGAGCAAGAACCUUCCCUCUCGUGAUGCUGGUCACCCAGUCAAUCCCUUUCACCCACCUUGCAGAGAAGCAGUACUCCUGCUGCUUUCACCAGAGUCACAGAGCAACUAGAAAUGCAGCCUUCCUCUAGACCAACAUUUGAAUUCUCU